RNAcentral lists this long non-coding RNA (207 nucleotides) under Elaeis guineensis (African oil palm). Its description in RNAcentral is "long non-coding RNA (EGUI_LNC027679)". Lineage: Eukaryota; Viridiplantae; Streptophyta; Magnoliopsida; Arecales; Arecaceae. The record is from RNAcentral.
CCUCCAUUAUUUAUGGAGUAAUAAGAGGAGACCGAGUACACCCCAUUGUGGGUGAGCUUCCACAGUGAUGCAUUAACUCACAGGAUGGCAAGACAUGAGAAAGAGUGUUGUGAAGGUAGUCCAAUUAAUUAGAUUCUUCUAGAGAUAAAGGCUCGCAAACAUAGACCCUCCAAUCAAGUAUCCUCCAAUUCUAAUGAGAUGCAAUCG